AGUUUGAUCCUGGCUCAGGAUGAACGCUGGCGGCGUGCUUAACACAUGCAAGUCGAACGAAGCACAGAUGUAGAAUUUCUUCGGAAAGGAAGCGCCUGUGACUGAGUGGCGGACGGGUGAGUAACGCGUGGGCAACCUGCCCCAUACCGGGGGACAACAGCUGGAAACGGCUGCUAAUACCGCAUACGUUUUCGGUGCCGCAUGGUGCCGAAAAGAAAACUCCGGUGGUAUGGGAUGGGCCCGCGUCUGAUUAGCUAGUUGGGAGGGUAACGGCCUACCAAGGCGACGAUCAGUAGCCGGCCUGAGAGGGCGACCGGCCACAUUGGGACUGAGACACGGCCCAGACUCCUGCGGGAGGCAGCAGUGGGGAAUAUUGCACAAUGGGGGAAACCCUGAUGCAGCGACGCCGCGUGAGCGAAGAAGUACCUCGGUAUGUAAAGCUCUAUCAGCAGGGAAGAAAGUGACAGUACCUGACUAAGAAGCCCCGGCUAACUACGUGCCAGCAGCCGCGGUAAUACGUAGGAUGCGAGCGUUAUCCGGAUUUAUUGGGUUUAAAGGGUGCGCAGGCGGACUGUUAAGUCAGCGGUAAAAUGUCGGUGCUCAACACCGGCCGGCCGUUGAAACUGGCAGCCUUGAGUGAGCGAGAAGUAUGCGGAAUGCGUGGUGUAGCGGUGAAAUGCAUAGAUAUCACGCAGAACACCGAUUGCGAAGGCAGCAUGCCGGCUUCCUACUGACGCUGAAGCACGAAAGCGUGGGGAUCGAACAGGAUUAGAUACCCUGGUAGUCCACGCGGUAAACGAUGAGCGCUAGGUGUCCGGGGGGAAUGGCCCCUGGGUGCCACAGCGAAAGCGUUAAGCGCUCCACCUGGGGAGUACGCCGGCAACGGUGAAACUCAAAGGAAUUGACGGGGGCCCGCACAAGCGGAGGAACAUGUGGUUUAAUUCGAUGAUACGCGAGGAACCUUACCCGGGCUCAAACGUUGCAGGAAGGGCUUCUGAAAGGAAGCCCGUCUACGGACCUGCAACGAGGUGCUGCAUGGUUGUCGUCAGCUCGUGCCGUGAGGUGUCGGCUUAAGUGCCAUAACGAGCGCAACCCCUACCGCCAGUUGCCAACAGGCAAAGCUGGGGACUCUGGCGGGACUGCCGGCGCAAGCUGCGAGGAAGGCGGGGAUGACGUCAAAUCAGCACGGCCCUUACGUCCGGGGCGACACACGUGUUACAAUGGCAGGUACAGCGGGAAGCCACCUGGCGACAGGGAGCGGAACCCGAAAGCCUGUCUCAGUUCGGAUUGGAGUCUGCAACCCGACUCCAUGAAGCUGGAUUCGCUAGUAAUCGCGCAUCAGCCACGGCGCGGUGAAUACGUUCCCGGGCCUUGCACUCACCGCCCGUCA
RNAcentral lists this ribosomal RNA (1390 nucleotides) under uncultured bacterium. RNAcentral's name for it is "partial 16S ribosomal RNA". It matches the Rfam family "Bacterial small subunit ribosomal RNA". The record is from RNAcentral.